CCUACGGGUGGCAGCAGUCGAGAAUCAUUCACAAUGGGGGAAACCCUGAUGGUGCGACGCCGCGUGGGGGAAUGAAGGUCUUCGGAUUGUAAACCCCUGUCAUGUGGGAGCAAAUCAAAAAGAUAGUACCACAAGAGGAAGAGACGGCUAAAUCUGUGCCAGCAGCCGCGGUAAUACAGAGGUCUCAAGCGUUGUUCGGAAUCACUGGGCGUAAAGCGUGCGUAGGCGGUUUCGUAAGUCGUGUGUGAAAGGCGCGGGCUCAACCCGCGGACGGCACAUGAUACUGCGGGACUAGAGUAAGGGAGGGGGAACCGGAAUUCUCGGUGUAGCAGUGAAAUGCGUAGAUAUCGAGAGGAACACUCGUGGCGAAGGCGGGUUCCUGGACAUUAACUGACGCUGAGGCACGAAGGCCAGGGGAGCGAAAGGGAUUAGAUACCCCGGUAGUC
Molecule: ribosomal RNA, 446 nt
Filed under: uncultured bacterium
Lineage: Bacteria
Description: partial 16S ribosomal RNA
Rfam family: Bacterial small subunit ribosomal RNA
Source: RNAcentral